UACAGAGGGUGCAAACGUUGCUCGGAAUUAUUGGGCGUAAAGCGCGUGUAGGCGGCUUGUUAAGUUGGUUGUGAAAACCCAUGGCUCAACCAUGGAAGGGCGUCCAAAACUGGCAAGCUAGAGUCCCGACGAGGAUGGCAGAAUUCCCAGUGUAGAGGUGAAAUUCGUAGAUAUUGGGAGGAACACCGGUGGCGAAGGCGGCCAUCUGGGAGGGCACUGACGCUGAGACGCGAAAGCGUGGGGAGCAAACAGG
RNAcentral lists this ribosomal RNA (253 nucleotides) under uncultured bacterium. RNAcentral's name for it is "partial 16S ribosomal RNA". It matches the Rfam family "Bacterial small subunit ribosomal RNA", at positions 524 to 776 of the family's 1533-position model. The record is from RNAcentral.